Molecule: ribosomal RNA, 445 nt
Filed under: Selenomonas sputigena
Lineage: Bacteria; Bacillati; Bacillota; Negativicutes; Selenomonadales; Selenomonadaceae
Description: bacterial SSU rRNA
Rfam family: Bacterial small subunit ribosomal RNA
Source: RNAcentral
GACGAACGCGGCGGCGUGCUUAACACAUGCAAGUCGAACGGGAACCUUUAUUUCGGUAAAGGUGAGAGUGGCAAACGGGUGAGUAACACGUAGGCAACCUGCCGACAGGAUGGGGACAACAUUCCGAAAGGAAUGCUAAUACCGAAUGAAGUCACCGGAGGGCAUCCUCUGGUGAUGAAAGAUGGCCUCUGAAUAUGCUAUCACCUGUCGAUGGGCCUGCGUCUGAUUAGCCAGUUGGCGGGGUAACGGCCCACCAAAGCGACGAUCAGUAGCCGGUCUGAGAGGAUGAACGGCCACAUUGGGACUGAGACACGGCCCAGACUCCUACGGGAGGCAGCAGUGGGGAAUCUUCCACAAUGGGCGAAAGCCUGAUGGAGCAACGCCGCGUGAGUGAAGAAGGUCUUCGGAUCGUAAAGCUCUGUUUGCACGGGGACGAAAAACUGGG